GGGCCCGCACAAGCGGCGGAGCAUGUGGAUUAAUUCGAUGCAACGCGAAGAACCUUACCUGGGUUUGACAUACGCCCUGCCGCCUCAGAGAUGGGGCUUCUUUUGGGGGUGUACAGGUGGUGCAUGGCUGUCGUCAGCUCGUGUCGUGAGAUGUUGGGUUAAGUCCCGCAACGAGCGCAACCCUCGUCCUAUGUUGCCAGCACGCCCUUCGGGGUGGUGGGGACUCAUGGGAGACUGCCGGGGUCAACUCGGAGGAAGGUGGGGAUGACGUCAAGUCAUCAUGCCCCUUAUGUCCAGGGCUUCACGCAUGCUACAAUGGCCGGUACAAAGGGCUGCGAUGCCGUAAGGUGGAGCGAAUCCCAAAAAGCCGGUCUCAGUUCGGAUUGGGGUCUGCAACUCGACCCCAUGAAGUCGGAGUCGCUAGUAAUCGCAGA
This 434-nucleotide ribosomal RNA is filed under the name uncultured Actinomycetes bacterium. RNAcentral describes it as "bacterial SSU rRNA". It matches the Rfam family "Bacterial small subunit ribosomal RNA", at positions 917 to 1348 of the family's 1533-position model. The record is from RNAcentral. Lineage: Bacteria; Bacillati; Actinomycetota; Actinomycetes.